RNAcentral lists this ribosomal RNA (253 nucleotides) under uncultured bacterium. Its description in RNAcentral is "partial 16S ribosomal RNA". It matches the Rfam family "Bacterial small subunit ribosomal RNA", at positions 524 to 776 of the family's 1533-position model. The record is from RNAcentral.
UACGAAGGGGGCUAGCGUUGCUCGGAAUCACUGGGCGUAAAGGGUGCGUAGGCGGGUCUUUAAGUCAGGGGUGAAAUCCUGGAGCUCAACUCCAGAACUGCCUUUGAUACUGAAGAUCUUGAGUUCGGGAGAGGUGAGUGGAACUGCGAGUGUAGAGGUGAAAUUCGUAGAGAUUGGGUGGAACACCAGUGGCGAAGGCGCCUGCCUGGCUGAUUACUGACGCUGAGACUCGAAAGCAUGGGGAGCAAACAGG